ACCCGGGUACUGCUGACCAUAGCGUCUUAUCGCUAUGUUCUUGACCUUGGCGCGAUAUGAAUGGGACGCUCGCAAGUGAAAUCUUAAUUAGAAACCAAAAAAACCUUUGCAAGAAUAUUCUCGUUCUUCGAGGUACCGCAUUAUUGCAAAAUCGUCCAGUUCAAGUUCUUCAUCGGACAGCAGUGCAAACAGUGAUAACACUGUAACUCACAGUAGUAAUAGUAGCCAUAGUGUGACAUGAAAGAGAAAGUACCAGUAAUUCAGAUGGAGUUCGAGUGCUAUGGGCUCGAAUAAUUUGGACAGUGAAAAUCAGGGACUAGAGGAGCAGUAUUUCGAGAACCUUUACGAUGCUUAUGGAGAGAACGAAGUUUAUAGUGGUGCAGAAUCCGAAUCAACAUAUGAAGGUGAAAACACGCCAGAUUCCUACAUAUGGUAUCCAGUGAAGCGGAUACUUUUUCAAAUCGUCUGCUAAUUCCUCGAGCGAAUCAUCAAACGAUGAAAACGAAGAGUCUAUGAAAGAUGCGAAUGCGCUACUAUAUAAUGGAGCCCUAAUUACAGUAGGAGAGAGCGUAAUUUUUAUUUUAAAAUUAACAAGCCACUUUGUAGUAUCAGGAAUGCUACUAUCAUUUAUACUUGAUUUAAUCGCGAUGCAUUGUCCUCAACCAAAUAAGUGCGCGACAUCUAUUUACAAGCAAAAAAUUUUUCGCCGACGUACGUACUCCAAUGAAUCGUUCUUACUAUUGUAAUAGAUGUUAUUCACGAUAAUAUUUGUCAUGUGAUGUUCAUAUCAUUUAUUAU
Phymastichus coffea is the source of this 798-nucleotide long non-coding RNA. RefSeq lists it as uncharacterized. The record is from RefSeq and is a predicted model, not a curated record. The transcript is spliced from 3 exons. NCBI's taxonomy places the organism in Eukaryota, Metazoa, Arthropoda, Insecta, Hymenoptera, Eulophidae.